This 492-nucleotide ribosomal RNA is filed under the name uncultured bacterium. Its description in RNAcentral is "partial 16S ribosomal RNA". It matches the Rfam family "Bacterial small subunit ribosomal RNA", at positions 29 to 507 of the family's 1533-position model. The record is from RNAcentral.
AGUGAACGCUGGCGGUAGGCCUAACACAUGCAAGUCGAACGGCAGCACAGUAAGAGCUUGCUCUUACGGGUGGCGAGUGGCGGACGGGCGAGGAAUACAUCGGAAUCUACUUUUUCGUGGGGGAUAACGUAGGGAAACUUACGCUAAUACCGCAUACGACCUACGGGUGAAAGCAGGGGAUCUUCGGACCUUGCGCGAUUGAAUGAGCCGAUGUCGGAUUAGCUAGUUGGCGGGGUAAAGGCCCACCAAGGCGACGAUCCGUAGCUGGUCUGAGAGGAUGAUCAGCCACACUGGAACUGAGACACGGUCCAGACUCCUACGGGAGGCAGCAGUGGGGAAUAGUGGACAAUGGGCGCAAGCCUGAUCCAGCCAUACCGCGUGGGUGAAGAAGGCCUUCGGGUUGUAAAGCCCUUUUGUUGGGAAAGAAAAGCAGCAGGUUAAUACCCCGCUGUUCUGACGGUACCCAAAGAAUAAGCACCGGCUAACUUCGUG